ACGACUCUCGGCAACGGAUAUCUCGGCUCACGCAUCGAUGAAGAACGUAGCAAAAUGCGAUACUUGGUGUGAAUUGCAGAAUCCCGUGAACCAUCGAGUUUUUGAACGCAAGUUGCGCCCGAAGCCAUUCGGCCGAGGGCACGUCUGCCUGGGCGUCACG
RNAcentral lists this ribosomal RNA (160 nucleotides) under Streptoglossa cylindriceps. Its description in RNAcentral is "5.8S ribosomal RNA". It matches the Rfam family "5.8S ribosomal RNA". Rfam says of the family: 5.8S ribosomal RNA (5.8S rRNA) is a component of the large subunit of the eukaryotic ribosome. It is transcribed by RNA polymerase I as part of the 45S precursor that also contains 18S and 28S rRNA. Functionally, it is thought that 5.8S rRNA may be involved in ribosome translocation. Lineage: Eukaryota; Viridiplantae; Streptophyta; Magnoliopsida; Asterales; Asteraceae. The record is from RNAcentral. RNAcentral also lists the same sequence under 11 other names.